CCAGAUUCAGUGGAUAGAAAUGCAGGAUGAGGAGUUCCCUUGUGGCUCCUAGCAUGUGUGAGGAUCUGUGAGGAUGCAGGUUCAAUCCCUGGCCUUGCUCAGUGGGUUAAGGAUGCAGUGUUGCUGCAAGAUGACGUGGCUUGGAUCUGGCGGUGCUGUGGCUCUGACGAAGGCAGCUGCAGUUCCAAUUCAACCCCUAGCUCCAGAAACAUCCAUAGGCCACAGGUGCAGCCGUAAAAAGAAAGAAAAAAGACAUGCAGGAUGCCCAGCUCAAUCUCAGGUAAUCUCAAAUGACUUUUUUUCUAAGUAUGCCCCAAAUAUUUCAUGGGACUUACUUAGACUACAGUGUAAUUCCUUACGCAUAGAAAGUUCGACUUUACCUGGUGUUCUGGGUCUUGUCUGGGGGGGGGCAGUAAGGGGUUUGGAGACAGUCAGUUUGUCCUAAGCUGCAUCUAAUGGUGAGUUUUAAAAUGUCACCUCCAAACCUGGUUAUAAAACACAAGAAAACUGGAAAUCAGUAUGGCGUUUCAUUAAAAAAUUGAAAAUAUGGAGCUCCCUUUGUGGCGCGGCGGAAAAGAACCCGGCUUGUAACCAUAAGGAUGCGGGUUCGAUCCUUGGUCUCGCUCAGGGGAUGAAGGAUCCGGCGUUGCCAUGAGCUGUGGCGCAGGUCACAGAUGGGCUUGGACCUGGCAUUGCUGUGACUGUGGCGUAGGCCAGCAGCUACAGAUCCAAUUGGACCCCUGGCCUGGGAACCUCCAUAGGCCACAGGUGCGCCCCUAAAAAGACCAAAAAAAAAAGUGUAGGAUGCGAAAUGACUUGAUUUCCCUGGAAAGAGACCAAGCCCCUUCCUUUAUCGGGCUGCGACUUCAGGGAUGUCCAUCUGAUAUGCAGAUGAGCCGCAUCCGGGCGUCCACGAAGCUUUAGUUAGAUUUACAAGGCGGCACUAGGACUUUCCCUUCAGGGCUUGGAGGCAGCGCGCAAAGCCUCGCCAGUGUCUGCAGGAAGAGCUGGGAGGCGAGCCUGCCCACUGCGGGGGUGUCGGGAGGCACUGAGGAUGGGACCGAGGGGUGUCUCCAAGGGCGGAGAGCGGGUGCUGUUGAACAAGAGAGCUUGUGUGCAAUCAUUCUCAGAGGAGAGCACUGAUCUUUGAAACUCUCGAGGGUACAGCCGGGAAUGGCGAUGAUAGUGAUGGAUGGACCUGAUGAAGGGUCAUUUUUUUUUUUGCCCAAAUUCUGUGCCUUCAAAGACCCUGGAAAAAUCCUCCGGUCACAGGCCACCGCCGCAUCCACAGAGUGAAAACAUGCUACCGUCCCCGUUCCGCCUGCAAACCGUGCACCUUGCUCCGCAGCGGGCACUGGGCUUUGCGGAGCAGAAACAUCGCUGGUCCGGGCCCAUCCUGCAUUCCAGCCUCCUGUACUGGGGGCUCCCAUUAGCCCCGCUCCGCUCCCUGCCAGACUCCCCACCGAGCUUUUGGGCUUUUGUCAGCUCGAGACAGCCCUUGAAAACCGUGCAAGCUGAGGGGGUGUGUGUCUAAUAAAGUUCAAGCUCUGUAAUUUCGCAAUUACUGUAACCCACACGUGUAAUUUAGGGGGUUUCUCGUAAUUCUUCUUUGUACUGUCUCUUUUAAAAAGCAGGCGGCUUGAAGAGUUUUCUCUUGAACGCCCCCAAUGCAGGCUGGCGUUUGCCACCCCCGCCCCUGGUCAGCUGCAGAGUACACAAAAGUGGGCAGAUGGGGUUUGGGCUGCUUUUCGGGGACUCAAAAGGUUAAUUGAAUGUUCGGCAGCCCCCAAAGGAAGCCCAGCUUCCUCUCUGUGACCCCAGGCCUCCGAAGUUCUGAAUUCAUCUGGGUGGAUCACGGGUGUAGACAGAAGUUUGAUGAAAGGUGUAAUCUACUCUCGGCCCCGGGUUCCAGCCUUAAGCAAGGCUCCUCGCUGCUCCCCGCAGCACCAUGCCCACUUCUGUGCCUCUGUCUUCAUUUAUGUGAUUAGCUGUUUAUUUCAGAAAUAUUGGGGGCGGGUCCACUCCACACUCCUCUGGGGAACCUAGGUCACAAAAGAUGGGGCUUUGUGGCCCUGGGGCAGGGCUGGGGGUGAUGACCACAGCUCCACAGGGCUGGCGGAGGGGGCUCCCUCCAGCCUCCCUCUGGUCCUCGGUCCUCCAGUGUGUGUAACCCCCCAGGCAGCAGGGCAGGUUGGGACCCUGAUUUCAGGGCUCAGCCUGCUCCCUCACUUCCAGGCUCUCCCUGGGGAAUUUCUGCCUGGCUUCUGCUUGUCCCUGCUCAGAAGGUAGCUUUGAGCUUAAAAAGCUGCAGGGUUUUCCCCUUGACCUGAACUCCCCUGCCCCCGAUGCAGCUGGGCUCCUGACCUCCUGGAGUGGGGAGCAGCCCCAGGUUAAGACCCCAGCCCCGGCUCAUCUCACCUGAGCAAACAGCUUUCCAGGAACAAGAGCUUCUCAGCUUGUUGUCUGCCUUUGGCUGAAUUCCAAGACCCGCAAAAAGUUGAUUUUUGUCACUUUUGUCCCGUUUAAAACUUAUAGCCUAGCCCCCAGCGUGGCCCAGAAGGCCCUCCAACAGAUUAAGGUUUAAACAGAAGAGGACUGGACAAUCUCAACAGAUACAGAAAAGGUAUAUAAUUCAAUGGCCGCUUUGGAAUACUUAUUUCGUUUAUUUAUUUAUUCUUUUUUAUGGCCACGCUCAUGGCACAUGGAAGUUCUGGGGCUAGGGGUUGAAGUGGAGCUGCAGCUGCUGCCCUAUGACACAGCCACAGCCACGUGGGAUCCGAACCACAUCUGUGACCUAUGCGGCAGCUCAGAGCAAUGCCAGAUCCUUAACCCACUGAGCGAGGCUAGGGAUCGAACCUACAUCCUCAUGGAUACUAGUCAGAUUCUUAACCUACUGAGCCACAAUGAGAACUCCUGAAUAGUCAUUUUAAAUAGUUUUAUCAAAUAAUAAUGGUUGUCUACAAAACUGAUAGCAAGCAUUUUACUUACUGAUGAAAUAUUAGAAGCCGUGUCUUUAUGUUUUAAAAUAGGAUUAGCUAUUUAUUUAUUUUAAUUUAUGGCUUUUUAGGGCCACGCCUGUAGCAUAUAGAAGUUCCCAGGCUAGCGGUGAAGUCAGAGCUAUAGCCGCCGGCCUACACCAGAGCCACAGCAAUGCGAGAUCCUUAACCCACCGAGCAAGGCUGGGGAUCGAACCUGAGUCCUCAUGGAUACUAGUCGGAUUCUUAACGCACGGAGCUACAGCAGGAACUCCCAGGGCCAGGUAUUUUUUUUAACAGUUUUCAUUCCACUGCAAGUCUCCUCCUGGCCAAUUGCACUGAGGAAUAACGGGAAAAGGAGAGAUGGCACCUUAGGGUGUCGAUUUCGCUGUGACGGAGCCCAGUGAACUCAGAAGGGCGUCGUGCUGGAGGCUGGGCUAUUGAGGAUGUUUCUGGACAGCGAGUCCCAUCUGUGUGCCCAGGGGCAGCAUCUGGGCACCGGGCACCAAUGCCCUGGCUCCCUGCUUUGCUUGGAGCCUGGACUGCACACGUGGGUGUGUGCCCAGCCCUGGGGGACCUGGGGGGCCAGCCAAGGGCUCUCGUUUCAGCCAAGCCUCUCCCUGACGUCCUCUGUGCUGUGUGUGGUCCCCUCGGCCCCACUUUAGAACAAAUCAGUGGGGCACCCAGAGUGGCAGUGGCCAGGCGGUGUGCCUGGUGGUCCCCCAAGAGGCAGAGGGGCCAGGCUGCCUCGGGGGGCCAUGGGGCUGGGGGAAGGACGGGGCCAGGGCCCUGCCUUUGCCCUCUGCUCCUCUCCAGGGCCCAGUAAGGCCAGAGAGGGUUUCCUCUUUGUCCCCCACUCCCCACCCACCAAGCCCCUCCCACUUCCUUCCCCUCUGCUUUUCAGCAUCGUCCUUUCUGCAGGGCUUUGGUGCCAGCAUCCUGGCCUCCCAGUUGCCUCCCACCAAGGUUCUCAGUCCAGCCACCACCACUGCUGGGGGUGCCAUCUUUUGCUGCAUCCUUCCAGACGGGCCGGGGGAGACCUGAUCCCAUCCCGGCUGCUCGGGGCCGGCACCCCCCUCUCCCCCGUUCACUGUGCACCCAGCCACACUUGGUGCCUCUUCAUUUUGCUGCCCUCUUGUCCCACAAUCUCCCAGGGGUGGGGGCACCAAAAGAGAGAGGGGGCAGAGGUGAGCUGAGGGGCCCCGUUGGGAAGGAAGGCCUGCCCGCCUGCCCGGCAGUAGCAGCUGCCAGGACGCAGACACCUGGGUGCCCGUUCCGCUGCCCAUGUGAGGGUCAGGGACAGUGUAGCCAGUGGAGGAACCUUCUGGAAGGCCGGCUCGUGCAAUAGCAGGGAGCAUUCAGGAGUGGGCGGGGGCAUGGAGGGGCUGGAGCGUGCGUCUCUGUCUUGGUGCAGGAUUUGAAAGGCCCGCGUGGCUGCGAAGAUGAUAUAAACAAGACCAAAGGGGCAACAGUGGUACAGAAAACGCGGGCUGGGCUGUGCACACGGUGGUCGACCAGAAGUUCAGAGGGGCUGACACGCUGCAGACCCCUGGGGAGCAGGUGCCUCCUUUUUCCUCCGCAGCCUGGAACGGAUGGGCCGGCGGGAAAGCGAGGGUCCACCUCCCUCCCAGCCACGCCACCCUGGCUGCUGGCUUUCGGUUGUGCUUUGUUCGAAAGCAGGGGUGCAGGCCCCGCCGACCGUGACCUUCGUGAUGACGGGCCCGCUGGCCUUUGGUGAGCCGGAAGGGCAGUGCUAUGGGGGCGCCUGCCUGGCAUCAUUAGGGAGCUGUCAGUGUCUCUGUCCACUGCUGGCAUGAGGUGGCCGGAGGCGAGGGUGACAGAUGAGGGAGAUGUUUUCAGGAGAGCUGGUGAUUUGACCUGACACAUGUCAGAAAGGCACAGGCCUCCUGCCUGCGUGACCCCGGGGAAGAGCCAUCGCUGCUCCCAGAGCAGGACAACAGCCCCAAGAGUGGAGGGGGGCUGCUAAUGAGGCUGUAGAGGGGUGCCCGUGGGCGGGGGGGGGCACGGGGUUGCCAUGCCCUGGUCCCUGAAGCCAGGCUGCCCUCUCCCACUCCCCAGGCCCCAGCCCCACUGUGGGGCAUGUAGCACUGACCCUGGAAACCGGCUGGUUGCCUCUCUUAACAGGACAGGUUUUCAAGUCUGAGACUUUCUGGAAUAUUCUUUCUGCCUUUGAGGAAUUAAGAUUUUUUUUUUAAAUUAUAGCUGACAUAAUGUUGUGCCAAUUUCCCUUGUCUGAAGCAUUUAUUUUAUUUAGUAGUAUUUAAAAAUCACCGUCUGCAUGAGUUCCCAUUGUGGCUCAGUGGUAACGAACCCAACUAGUAUCCAUGAAGAUGCAGGUUCGAUCCCUGGCCCCCCAUUGCCAAGAGCUGUGGUGUAGGUUGCAGAUGAGGCUCAGAUCUGGCGUGGCUGUGCCUGUGGUGCAGGCUGGCAGCUGCAGCUCUGAUUCAACCCCUAGCCUGGGAACCUCCAUAUGUCAUGGGCGCAGCCCUAAAAAGCAAAAUAAAUAAAUAAAUAAUCACCCUCUGGCCUAUUUAUCCUUAAAGAGAAAUUAGCCAGUGGGCAGAACCAGGAGAGCUCUGAGAACAGGCCCCGGGCACGGUUCUAAAGACACCCUUCCCUCCCCGGGCCAGGCGCGUAUGCAGAAGGAACCUGUUACAGGCUGAGCUGCGUUGCCCUCAAGUUCAAGCCUUAACGUCGCAGCCCUGGUCCCUCCGGUGAGACUUCAUGUGGCAGGAGGGUCUUUAAAUGGGUAAUGAAUGAAUCCAAACUGCGUUUCUAGACACAGCCCUGGUCCCUGAAAACCCUGCCCUGCCCGGAGGGAAGCUCUUCCGGAACAGGUGGCCGCUGUCAUCGGGAUGCCGUCGGGGACAACCUCCAGGCCCAGGACCGACACGCCCCCUCCCCCUGCACAAAGUCUCCUGAAAACGUGCGCUUUCAAAUAGAUACUGACC
This 5947-nucleotide long non-coding RNA is filed under the name Sus scrofa (pig). RNAcentral's name for it is "lncRNA (ENSSSCG00025051908.1)". Lineage: Eukaryota; Metazoa; Chordata; Mammalia; Artiodactyla; Suidae. The record is from RNAcentral.